CCAGAAGCUCUGGUUUUGUUUUGUUUUGUUUUGUUUUUUUGUUUUUUUAAUCAUUUUCAGAUGUUAUCCAGAAAUCUGCAAGUGUACUUUUCCUGUUUUAACUCCUUCCUUUUAUCACCUGACUAUCAGGGAAGCGAGGUUGAGGCUGCCCUGACCUGACAUGUCAUGAUGUCGACUUGCUAGGUGGGGUUCGCUGGGGACGAUAACCAGUGGAAUUGUUGGUAGCCCUAAUACAGUGGUUUUUCUUAUGACUUAUUUUUCUUGAGGGUGUACUUCGUUUCUCACCAGUCAAAAACAUAGAAGUUCUGCAACUCAGAAUGGAAAUUCACUUGAAGUAAUGUGUGAUUCCUCUGUAAUCAGUGCCGUUAAUAGCAAAAAAUAUUUAAAAGGAAGAUGAUUGGGACCUAAUAGUCUAUAAACAAAUUGAGUAAGAAAGCAUUUAAGAAGGACUAGUAAUGUAUUCUGCCUUGUUUCUUUCAAAUGAAGACUGUUAAACUGAGUUACGGGGAAGAAAAAGUGAAUACCCUAUUGUUUCAAGGUAAUAAAGAGUAGACAGUA
Molecule: small RNA, 558 nt
Filed under: Pan troglodytes (chimpanzee)
Lineage: Eukaryota; Metazoa; Chordata; Mammalia; Primates; Hominidae
Description: processed transcript
Source: RNAcentral